UAACUCACCUGGCAGGGGAGACACCAUAUUUCAAAGGUGGUUUUCCCAGGGCAAGGCUUAUCCAUUGUACUCCAGAUGUGCUGACCCCUGUGAUUUCCCCAAAUGUGGGGAAACUCAACUGUGUAAUUUGUGGUGGUGGGGGGGGGCUGUGUUCACAGUCUCCCCUU
Sorex fumeus (smoky shrew) is the source of this 167-nucleotide small nuclear RNA. RefSeq annotates it as U1 spliceosomal RNA. The transcript has a single exon. The record is from RefSeq and is a predicted model, not a curated record. Lineage: Eukaryota; Metazoa; Chordata; Mammalia; Eulipotyphla; Soricidae.